GAUGAACGCUGGCGGCGUGCCUAAUACAUGCAAGUCGAGCGAACAGACGAGGAGCUUGCUCCUCUGACGUUAGCGGCGGACGGGUGAGUAACACGUGGAUAACCUACCUAUAAGACUGGGAUAACUUCGGGAAACCGGAGCUAAUACCGGAUAAUAUAUUGAACCGCAUGGUUCAAUAGUGAAAGACGGUUUUGCUGUCACUUAUAGAUGGAUCCGCGCCGCAUUAGCUAGUUGGUAAGGUAACGGCUUACCAAGGCAACGAUGCGUAGCCGACCUGAGAGAGUGAUCGGCCACACUGGAACUGAGACACGGUCCAGACUCCUACGGGAGGCAGCAGUAGGGAAUCUUCCGCAAUGGGCGAAAGCCUGACGGAGCAACGCCGCGUGAGUGAUGAAGGUCUUCUGAUCGUAAAACUCUGUUAUUAGGGAAGAACAAAUGUGUAAGUAACUAUGCACGUCUUGACGGUACCUAAUCAGAAAGCCACGGCUAACUACGUG
RNAcentral lists this ribosomal RNA (497 nucleotides) under uncultured bacterium. Its description in RNAcentral is "partial 16S ribosomal RNA". It matches the Rfam family "Bacterial small subunit ribosomal RNA", at positions 28 to 507 of the family's 1533-position model. The record is from RNAcentral.